AGAACCAAGCAAGUGCCAAUAGAGAGGGAGGAGGGCUGGAAAAAACCACUGAGUUUUGAGAGACUGGCCAAAAGAGAGCUCUGAAACAGGCUCAUCCAAUGUGCAGAAAGAGCUGGAGGGACCUAUAGGAAAAAAUAGGAGCUGUGGUGGCAGCAAGAGCACUGAAAGAGAUUCUCCCGACCUCUUUGUUGCACUUGCAACUUCAGGAGUUCCUGGAUGUGUGGA
Molecule: long non-coding RNA, 225 nt
Organism: Pseudopipra pipra
Lineage: Eukaryota; Metazoa; Chordata; Aves; Passeriformes; Pipridae
Exons: 3
Source: RefSeq, a predicted model, not a curated record